This is a non-coding RNA of Vicugna pacos (alpaca), 117 nucleotides long. The record is from RefSeq and is a predicted model, not a curated record. Lineage: Eukaryota; Metazoa; Chordata; Mammalia; Artiodactyla; Camelidae.
CAGUUGCAAACUCCCCUACAUAAAUAUAUAUGGGGAGGUACUAGAUCCAACACGGAUACAGAGUGAAAUCUGCUGGAACAUAAAACCGGCACUAGGAAACAGACUGAGAAACCAGAG